GACAGAGGUGCCAAGCGUUAGGCGGAAUCACUGGGCUUAAAGCGUGUGUAGGCGGACUGGUAAGUACCCUUGUGAAAUCCCACGGCUCAACCGUGGAACUGCUCGGUAUACUGCUCGGUCUUGAGCCACGUUAGGGGCUGUCGGAACAAACGGUGGAGCGGUGAAAUGCGUAGAUAUCAUUUGGGAACGCCAACGGCGAAAGCAGGCAGCUGGGGAUGCAC
Molecule: ribosomal RNA, 221 nt
Filed under: uncultured bacterium
Lineage: Bacteria
Description: partial 16S ribosomal RNA
Rfam family: Bacterial small subunit ribosomal RNA
Source: RNAcentral